UGUCGGGUAAGUUCCGACCUGCACGAAUGGCGUAAUGAUGGCCAGGCUGUCUCCACCCGAGACUCAGUGAAAUUGAACUCGCUGUGAAGAUGCAGUGUACCCGCGGCAAGACGGAAAGACCCCGUGAACCUUUACUAUAGCUUGACACUGAACAUUGAGCCUUGAUGUGUAGGAUAGGUGGGAGGCUUUGAAGUGUGGACGCCAGUCUGCAUGGAGCCGACCUUGAAAUACCACCCUUUAAUGUUUGAUGUUCUAACGUGGACCCGUGAUCCGGGUUGCGGACAGUGUCUGGUGGGUAGUUUGACUGGGGCGGUCUCCUCCUAAAGAGUAACGGAGGAGCACGAAGGUUGGCUAAUCCUGGUCGGACAUCAGGAGGUUAGUGCAAUGGCAUAAGCCAGCUUGACUGCGAGCGUGACGGCGCGAGCAGGUGCGAAAGCAGGUCAUAGUGAUCCGGUGGUUCUGAAUGGAAGGGCCAUCGCUCAACGGAUAAAAGGUACUCCGGGGAUAACAGGCUGAUACCGCCCAAGAGUUCAUAUCGACGGCGGUGUUUGGCACCUCGAUGUCGGCUCAUCACAUCCUGGGGCUGAAGUAGGUCCCAAGGGUAUGGCUGUUCGCCAUUUAAAGUGGUACGCGAGCUGGGUUUAGAACGUCGUGAGACAGUUCGGUCCCUAUCUGCCGUGGGCGCUGGAGAACUGAGGGGGGCUGCUCCUAGUACGAGAGGACCGGAGUGGACGCAUCACUGGUGUUCGGGUUGUCAUGCCAAUGGCACUGCCCGGUAGCUAAAUGCGGAAGAGAUAAGUGCUGAAAGCAUCUAAGCACGAAACUUGCCCCGAGAUGAGUUCUCCCUGAGACUUUAGGUCUCCUGAAGGAACGUUGAAGACGACGACGUUGAUAGGCCGGGUGUGUAAGCGCAGCGAUGCGUUGAGCUAACCGGUACUAAUGAACCGUGAGGCUUAACCUUACA
This 964-nucleotide ribosomal RNA is filed under the name Salmonella enterica subsp. enterica serovar Montevideo str. FSL_R8-4922. RNAcentral's name for it is "partial 23S ribosomal RNA". It matches the Rfam family "Bacterial large subunit ribosomal RNA", at positions 1970 to 2925 of the family's 2925-position model. The record is from RNAcentral. Lineage: Bacteria; Pseudomonadati; Pseudomonadota; Gammaproteobacteria; Enterobacterales; Enterobacteriaceae.